This is a long non-coding RNA of Mauremys mutica (yellowpond turtle), 645 nucleotides long. RefSeq lists it as uncharacterized. The transcript is spliced from 4 exons. Lineage: Eukaryota; Metazoa; Chordata; Testudines; Geoemydidae. The record is from RefSeq and is a predicted model, not a curated record.
CGGCGGCAUUUUGGUGGCAGGGGAUCCUUUGGUGCCGCAGAAGUCCCGAAGUGGACCCCCCGCCACCGUGCUGCCAAAGACCUGGAGUGGAUCCUACCCUCACCGUUGAAGUGCCACCGAAGCCCCAGACCGCCACCAGCACUACAGACAGUCCUUGGACUUACGACCCAAUUGAUUCCUGAAAAUUGUGUCAUAAGUGGAAAUGUUGUAACUUGGAACCGGAACCCACUCCAUUGCGGGACCGAGCGUCGUAAAGUUGAAACCAAUGGUUGCAAGUUGAAUCAGGGUGUCAAUUCAGAAACAUCGUGACUCAUAAGCAGAUUAACGUGGAGACGAUUCAGAUUCUACCUGAACAGCUAUGAUGAAACAAGCCACCCAAAACUGGCAUCGUUCCUGGACUGACGGGAAAUGGCAUAAUGAGCAGCAAAUGUAUGAACUGAUGACGAGGUGGCUGCUUUGCAAAUGUCUCAACCGGGUACAUGCGUGAGGAAAGCUGUCUGUGCUCUAGUUGAAUGAACCAAUACUCCAGCUUGGAGGGAGACCAGAGGAGAUGGUGAACGAAAUGACAAUGGAAUACUGAAUGGGAGAAAAGUCUCAUUCCGAUCAGUCUCAACCACCACAGAAGCAUGAGAUACGUUGUCUAAC